RNAcentral lists this ribosomal RNA (253 nucleotides) under uncultured bacterium. RNAcentral describes it as "partial 16S ribosomal RNA". It matches the Rfam family "Bacterial small subunit ribosomal RNA", at positions 524 to 776 of the family's 1533-position model. The record is from RNAcentral.
UACAGAGGUCCCAAGCGUUGUUCGGAUUCACUGGGCGUAAAGGGUGCGUAGGCGGUCGGGUAAGUCUGAUGUGAAAUCUCACAGCUUGACUGUGAAACUGCAUUGGAUACUAUCCGGCUAGAGGAAUGGAGGGGAGACUGGAAUACUUGGUGUAGCAGUGAAAUGCGUAGAUAUCAAGUGGAACACCAGUGGCGAAGGCGAGUCUCUGGACAUUUCCUGACGCUGAGGCACGAAAGCCAGGGGAGCAAACGGG